UGGAACGGUGAGUGGAUGAAAGCUCCGGCGGCAUAGGAUGGGCCUGCGGCGUAUCAGGUUGUAGGGGGUGUAACGUACCCUCUAGCCCUCUACGCGUACGGGUGUUGGGAGACAUAGCCCGGAGAUGGAUUCUGAGACACGAAUCCAGACCCUACGGGGUGCAGCAGGCGCGAAAACUUGGCAAUGCGAGAAAUCGUGACCAGGGAACUCCAAGUGCAUCGGGUAAGACCGGUGCUUUUCUUGACUCUAAAUAGGUCUUGGAAUAAGGGGUGGGUAAGGACGGUGCCAGCCGCCGCGGUAAUACCGGCGCCUCAAGUGGUAGUCGCUUUUAUUGGGCCUAAAACGUCCGUAGCCGGUCUGAUACAUUCGUGGGUAAAUCAACCAGCUCAACUGGUUGAAUUCUGCGAGGACGGUCAGACUUGGGACCGGGAGAGGUGUGGGGUACGCUCAGGGUAGGGGUAAAAUCCUGUCAUCCUGAGCGGACCACCUGUUGCGAAGGCGCCACACUAGAACGGAUCCGACGGUCAGGGACGAAGCCUAGGGGCACGAACCGGAUUAGAUACCCGGGUAGUCCUAGGUGUAAACGCUGUGGACUUGAUGUUGGGGGUGCUCCGAGCACUCUCAGUGUCGAAGCGAAGGUGAUAAGUCCACUGCCUGGGAAGUACGGUCGCAAGGCUGAAACUUAAAGGAAUUGGCGGGGGAGCACCGCAACCUGAGGAUUGUGCGGUUUAAUUGGACUCAACGCCGGGA
This 750-nucleotide ribosomal RNA is filed under the name uncultured Candidatus Poseidoniales archaeon. RNAcentral's name for it is "bacterial SSU rRNA". It matches the Rfam family "Archaeal small subunit ribosomal RNA", at positions 171 to 923 of the family's 1478-position model. Lineage: Archaea; Methanobacteriati; Thermoplasmatota; Candidatus Poseidoniia; Candidatus Poseidoniales. The record is from RNAcentral.